Molecule: ribosomal RNA, 517 nt
Filed under: uncultured Chloroflexota bacterium
Lineage: Bacteria; Bacillati; Chloroflexota
Description: bacterial SSU rRNA
Rfam family: Bacterial small subunit ribosomal RNA
Source: RNAcentral
UUGCUUAAUGGGCGCAAGCCUGAAGCAGCAACGCCGCGUGUGCGAUGAAGGCCUUCGGGUUGUAAAGCACUUUUAGCUGGGAAGAGGAAGGACGGUACCAGCUGAAUAAGCCUCGGCUAACUACGUGCCAGCAGCCGCGGUAAAACGUAGGAGGCGAGCGUUAUCCGGAUUUACUGGGUGUAAAGCGCGUGCAGGCGGUUUGGUAAGUUGGGUGUGAAAGCUCCUGGCUCAACUGGGAGAGGUCGCUCAAGACUGCCAGACUUGAGAGUGGUGGGGGAAGGUGGAAUUCCGGGUGUAGUGGUGAAAUGCGUAGAUAUCCGGAGGAACACCAGUGGCGAAGGCGGCCUUCUGGGCCACAUCUGACGCUCAGACGCGAAAGCUAGGGUAGCAAACGGGAUUAGAGACCCCGGUAGUCCUAGCCGUAAACGAUGUGAACUUGGCGCUGGGGCGGUAAAACGGUUCAGUGCCGAAGCAAACGCGAUAAGUUCACCACCUGGGGACUACGGCCGCAAGGUUA